CCCCCGGGGCAAGGAGGGGAGGCCAGGCAGCCGGAAGGAAACUCCUGAGCUUUUUACGGAAUGCACAAGACAAAAGCACGCUUGCUUUCCAUUAAGCGGAUCCUUUGUGCUGAAACAGAUUUGCAGUCCUGCCAAACCAGACGAUGCUGCUGGCAGGAAGAUGCACAUGGUCUGAUGUUAAUGCAAGAGUGAGAAAACCUCUGUGGCACAGUCAUGGGAGGUCAGCCCAAAUGUAGAGUUUCCUUCCUUCCUUCCUUCCUCCCUCCCUCCCUCCCUCCCUCCCUUUUUUUACUUUCUGUAAUUCUAAAGUGGCAGGAACGACUUGACUCUUUAGACCAUAUAUUUUUUUCAGAAAUACAUUUCUGAAAAUA
This is a long non-coding RNA of Homo sapiens (human), 371 nucleotides long. Ensembl annotates it as long intergenic non-protein coding RNA 2026. The record is from Ensembl. Lineage: Eukaryota; Metazoa; Chordata; Mammalia; Primates; Hominidae.